UGUUGUGUUAAUACUGUACAGCUUAUUUCACAUACGACACCCCAGAGGAAGCAUCAGAAGCUUUCAGCAGUUCUCUAAAGACAAAUCUAGCAGUUGAAAAAGAAGAGCAGAAGCGGAGA
Long non-coding RNA from Sinocyclocheilus anshuiensis, 119 nucleotides. RefSeq lists it as uncharacterized. Lineage: Eukaryota; Metazoa; Chordata; Actinopteri; Cypriniformes; Cyprinidae. The transcript has 3 exons. The record is from RefSeq and is a predicted model, not a curated record.